This 1324-nucleotide ribosomal RNA is filed under the name uncultured organism. RNAcentral describes it as "SSU rRNA". It matches the Rfam family "Bacterial small subunit ribosomal RNA", at positions 148 to 1485 of the family's 1533-position model. The record is from RNAcentral.
CUCCUGAAAGGAAGAUUAAUACAAGAUGGCAUCAUGAGUCCGCAUGUUCACAUGAUUAAAGGUAUUCCGGUAGACGAUGGGGAUGCGUUCCAUUAGAUAGUAGGCGGGGUAACGGCCCACCUAGUCUUCGAUGGAUAGGGGUUCUGAGAGGAAGGUCCCCCACAUUGGAACUGAGACACGGUCCAAACUCCUACGGGAGGCAGCAGUGAGGAAUAUUGGUCAAUGGGCGAGAGCCUGAACCAGCCAAGUAGCGUGAAGGAUGACUGCCCUAUGGGUUGUAAACUUCUUUUAUAAAGGAAUAAAGUCGGGUAUGGAUACCCGUUUGCAUGUACUUUAUGAAUAAGGAUCGGCUAACUCCGUGCCAGCAGCCGCGGUAAUACGGAGGAUCCGAGCGUUAUCCGGAUUUAUUGGGUUUAAAGGGAGCGUAGAUGGAUGUUUAAGUCAGUUGUGAAAGUUUGCGGCUCAACCGUAAAAAUGCAGUUGAUACUGGAUAUCUUGAGUGCAGUUGAGGCAGGCGGAAAUCGUGGUGUAGCGGUGAAAUGCUUAGAUAUCACGAAGAACUCCGAUUGCGAAGGCAGCCUGCUAAGCUGCAACUGACAUUGAGGCUCGAAAGUGUGGGUAUCAAACAGGAUUAGAUACCCUGGUAGUCCACACGGUAAACGAUGAAUACUCGCUGUUUGCGAUAUACAGCAGGCGGCCAAGCGAAAGCGUUAAGUAUUCCACCUGGGGAGUACGCCGGCAACGGUGAAACUCAAAGGAAUUGACGGGGGCCCGCACAAGCGGAGGAACAUGUGGUUUAAUUCGAUGAUACGCGAGGAACCUUACCCGGGCUUAAAUUGCAGAUGAAUUACGGUGAAAGCCGUAAGCCGCAAGGCAUCUGUGAAGGUGCUGCAUGGUUGUCGUCAGCUCGUGCCGUGAGGUGUCGGCUUAAGUGCCAUAACGAGCGCAACCCUUGUUGUCAGUUACUAACAGGUUUCGCUGAGGACUCUGACAAGACUGCCAUCGUAAGAUGUGAGGAAGGUGGGGAUGACGUCAAAUCAGCACGGCCCUUACGUCCGGGGCUACACACGUGUUACAAUGGGGGGUACAGAGGGCCGCUACCACGCGAGUGGAUGCCAAUCCCCAAAACCUCUCUCAGUUCGGACUGGAGUCUGCAACCCGACUCCACGAAGCUGGAUUCGCUAGUAAUCGCGCAUCAGCCACGGCGCGGUGAAUACGUUCCCGGGCCUUGUACACACCGCCCGUCAAGCCAUGGGAGCCGGGGGUACCUGAAGUGCGUAACCGCGAGGAGCGCCCUAGGGUAAAACUGGUGACUGGGGCUAAA